UGUCAAUCGGUUGGUUGGUAACUUGGUGCAAAUGGCACAUCCUGGAACGGAAGUAGGUUCUAGGUUGCACAUGUCAGUUUUGUUGAGCUAUGGUGCUGUUCGUGAGUCUGAUGAUUCCACAUGUUCUAUUGCUGACAGUAGACAAGAGAAUAACUCUAAACUCUCUCUUAUUUUCCCUCGUCAAAGUUAUACAAUUAAAGAAGGAAAACCACGACCGAAUGUUA
This 224-nucleotide unclassified non-coding RNA is filed under the name Hevea brasiliensis (rubber tree). The record is from RNAcentral. Lineage: Eukaryota; Viridiplantae; Streptophyta; Magnoliopsida; Malpighiales; Euphorbiaceae.